AAACUUUCAACAACGGAUCUCUUGGUUCUGGCAUCGAUGAAGAACGCAGCGAAAUGCGAUAAGUAAUGUGAAUUGCAGAAUUCAGUGAAUCAUCGAAUCUUUGAACGCACAUUGCGCCCGCCAGCACUCUGGCGGGCAUGCCUGUUCGAGCGUCA
Molecule: ribosomal RNA, 155 nt
Filed under: Sporothrix sp. EPF144
Lineage: Eukaryota; Fungi; Ascomycota; Sordariomycetes; Ophiostomatales; Ophiostomataceae
Description: 5.8S ribosomal RNA
Rfam family: 5.8S ribosomal RNA
About the family: 5.8S ribosomal RNA (5.8S rRNA) is a component of the large subunit of the eukaryotic ribosome. It is transcribed by RNA polymerase I as part of the 45S precursor that also contains 18S and 28S rRNA.
Source: RNAcentral